AUGUUGACCUUUGUCCAGAUUGGCCUUGACUUUGGGAGCUCUCCGGUGUGGGAUUUGUUCCUUUCUGAUGGAACAAAAACAUCGGUUUCCCAAGGCUUUGGCCUGCUCCCUCCUCCCCGUUGGAAACUCCCAGCGUGUUCUGUGCCACUGUUGGUCCACGCAGGCCACCGUAGCAGACACCCCAGACUGAGGCUCACCCAGCAGACGAGCACUGCCCCCCAGUCCUGCAGGCCAAAGCCCGGGAUGCAGGCGCGGGCAAGGCAGCUUCCUGAGGCCUCUCUCGUGUGUGGACGGCCGUGCUCUCCCUGGGUCCUCAUGGGGUCGUCCCUCCGCGUGUCUCUGUGUCAUGCUGGAUCAGGGCCCACCCCGGUGACCUCAUGUUACCUUGAUCACCUCUUUAAAGACCCUGUCUGCACACGCAGCCACGUUCUGCGGUGCUGGGGGUCAGGAUUUCCACGUCGGAAUUGGGGGGACGCGGCUCAGCCCUUAGCAGCCACCCCCCAGCAGCUGCUGGGAAAGAACGCUGACCUAGGACUUAGGAGAAAACGUUUCCCCUGGAGCUGCUUCAUCGAAUUCUGGAAUGAUGAGAAAAGGAUUUGGAGGCACUUGGAGAGCCUCCCCACAGACCAUGCCUCUCACAGCAGCGUAAUCUGGAGAGAUUGGAAACUAAUUACCCUGUGAGGUCAUCCUCAUUCCUACAGUAAUCACAGUCCUGAAUGAAGUGGGAAGCUGGUCUUUGACUCCGGAAACUGAAGUCACCAAGCAGGGACGGUUGACCAGAGACAAGUGGGCAUGGUGUCCAGUUCCAACAGGACAGGAGUCCUGUAGUUGAGGGCCCUGCCACGGAAGGCUGGAUGGCAAGUCCAAGUCCGUGUGAUCAAGUGGCCCAGCUGGGGCUUUGCAGGUUCCUUGUCCGAGAAGGAAAGUCACUCCUAACGCUUCAAGGACUUCUGCCUCCUUUCUGAAUAAAACCUUCCUCCCCUGGCA
RNAcentral lists this long non-coding RNA (987 nucleotides) under Ursus maritimus (polar bear). Its description in RNAcentral is "lncRNA (ENSUMAG00000007324.1)". Lineage: Eukaryota; Metazoa; Chordata; Mammalia; Carnivora; Ursidae. The record is from RNAcentral.